AUAUCAAUAAGCGGAGGAAAAGAAACCAACCCGGGAUUGCCCUAGUAACGGCGAGUGAAGCGGCAAAAGCUCAGAUUUGAAAUCUGGCCUCCUUUGGGGGUCCGAGUUGUAAUCUGUAGAGGAUGCUUCGGCGUGGGCGCCGCCCCAAGUUCCUUGGAACUGGACGUCAUGGAGGGUGAGAGCCCCGUAUGCGGGCGGAUGCCUUCGCCGUGUGAAGCUCCUUCGACGAGUCGAGUUGUUUGGGAAUGCAGCUCAAAUUGGGAGGUAAAUUCCUUCUAAAGCUAAAUACCGGCCGGAGACCGAUAGCGCACAAGUAGAGUGAUCGAAAGAUGAAAAGCACUUUGGAAAGAGAGUGAAACAGCACGUGAAAUUGUUGAAAGGGAAGCGCUUGCAGCCAGACGUGGCCGUCGUCGCUCGGUUGGGCCUCGUGCCCGGCCUACGCUUCGGCGGCCAGGCCAGCGCCAGUUCGGGCGGUCGGAUAAGCGCGCGGGAAUGUAGCACCCUCCGGGGUGUGUUAUAGCCCGCGUUCGAUGCGGCCCGCCUGGACUGAGGUGUCCGCGCUCUGCGAGGACGCUGGCAUAAUGGUGGUAAGCGGCCCGUCUUGAAACACGGACCAAGGAGUCUCACAGCCGUGCGAGUGUUCGGGUGUGAAAACCCGUGCGCGCAAUGAAAGUGAAUGGAGGUGGGAACCCGCAAGGGUGCACCAUCGACCGAUCCAGAUGUCUUCGGAUGGAUUUGAGUAUGAGCACGGUUGCGAGGACCCGAAAGAUGGUGAACUAUGCCUAAGCAGGGUGAAGCCAGAGGAAACUCUGGUGGAGGCUCGCAGCGGUUCUGACGUGCAAAUCGAUCGUCAAAUUUGGGUAUAGGG
The sequence is a ribosomal RNA, 868 nucleotides long. It matches the Rfam family "Eukaryotic large subunit ribosomal RNA", at positions 40 to 922 of the family's 3401-position model.